UAACAGUACAGAACAGGCAACAGAUCUGUGUCAGAUGUCAUCCAGUGUCUGUAAUGUAGAGCAUGGUAUGUCUCUGUGGUACACGGAUAAGGCAGAGUUUGGUCCAGGUACCAGACUCACUGUUCUAGAUCCAAACAUCAAAGUCACUGAACCCACAGUGAAAGUCCUAGCACCCUCCGCUAAGGAGUGUGAAGAUAGAAACAAGAAGAAGAAGAAGACCUAGUGUGUGUAGCCACCCGCUUCUACCCCGACCACGUCACGGUCUUCUGGCAAGUCAACAAUGUCAACAGAACUGAAGGUGCCGGGACCGACAACAGGGCCUUGUGGGAUAAAGAUGGUUUAUACAGUAUCACCAGCAGACUGAGAGUCCCAGCCAAUGAAUGGCACAAACCAGAGAACAGAUUCACCUGCAAUGUCAGCUUUUACAAUGGGACUGACAAUAUACAAGUGAAUGACACCAUUCGUGGAGAUCUCCAAGGUCAAAGUGGGGGAGAGAUAACGACAGAUUACUAUGUGAAGAGCACCCAGACUGCCAAGCUGGCCUACAGCAUCUUCAUCGCUAAGAGUACCUUCUAUGGCCUGGUCGUCAUGGUUAUGAUUUGGAAGUUCCAGGGCUCCUCAGAGAAACAGAUUUAACGGAAUACAAGCGGCCCAAGGAGGAUGUCCUGCAUGGGUGUUGAUUCUUCCAUGUGCUCAAGAACGGACUGGCAAAUGGGCAAUUCUGGCAAAUGCCAGAUGGACCAUUCAUCUUUAGCCCAGUGGGCCUGUCUAAAUGAUAUUAUGUUUUUAGCAAAAUAAUAAUAAUUUGUCUAGUAAAGAGGGUCUUAAAGAAAAACAUGGGCAGGUGUGUUAGAAAUGCCGGGCCGGUUUCUGGUCCCAGUUUGCCCCUGCGUGUAAUUGUAUUGUCCAUUGUGCUUAUUGUUGCCAGUAUCUCUUUAUUGCCCCGUCUAUGUGAAGAUGUGCUUUUAAGAAUCUCCUAUGAACAUGAACUUGCAAUUUAAAUGUAUAUUUGAAUAAAUUCAGCCAAAACAACCUUUCCAUUAA
Oncorhynchus tshawytscha (Chinook salmon) is the source of this 1044-nucleotide non-coding RNA. Lineage: Eukaryota; Metazoa; Chordata; Actinopteri; Salmoniformes; Salmonidae. The record is from the annotation of a RefSeq genome assembly.